This is a long non-coding RNA of Phyllopteryx taeniolatus (common seadragon), 387 nucleotides long. RefSeq lists it as uncharacterized. The transcript has 3 exons. Lineage: Eukaryota; Metazoa; Chordata; Actinopteri; Syngnathiformes; Syngnathidae. The record is from RefSeq and is a predicted model, not a curated record.
CUAUGCCACACCAACCGUGUGUCUAGGAAAAAAAACGGACAGACAUUUGAGUUAUGGUGUGUUGAAGGGCUCGCAAAUCAUCAAAAGUCGUGUAUGGAUCCUGUCCCUUCUCUCCCUUGGCUCCUCGUUCAGCAAGGAGACCAGUUGGGUCUGCGCUGUAACGUUGUCCACUGCAGUCCUCCCGCCCACCUAAUGAAACAAAAAGAAACCAACAAAGACAUUAAUGAUUGACUCAUACCGUCAUCUUUAAUCUAAAUAACGGAACCGUUAAUGGAACAGAAUGUACUGUGCCAGCCACAAGGACGCUUGAUCUCGGGGAGGACUGCUUCCUUAGAGUACCAUUACAUCGUGGAUCUUCCUGUUUGGCACGGACAAAUCCACCACCAG